This 200-nucleotide ribosomal RNA is filed under the name uncultured prokaryote. Its description in RNAcentral is "partial 16S ribosomal RNA". It matches the Rfam family "Bacterial small subunit ribosomal RNA", at positions 1183 to 1382 of the family's 1533-position model. The record is from RNAcentral.
GGUCAAAUCAUCAUGCCUCUUACACCUAGGGCUACAGGCGUGCUACAAUGGCUGGUACAACGAGUCGCAACACAGUGAUGUGGAGCUAAUCUCUUAAAGCCAGUCCCAGUUCGGAUUGUAGUCUGCAACUCGACUACAUGAAGUUGGAAUCGCUAGUAAUCCCGGAUCAGAAUGCCGGGGUGAAUACGUUCUCGGGUGUU